UGAAACAUGCUUAGUGUGCUCCGAAAACAAACCCGUGCUCCCUAUGACUCCGCAUGCCAAACGUCGAAGCAAGACUCCUUCAAGACUAAGUCGAGGCAAACGUACGGUUGAUGGCGAUCUUAUCUCAUUGGAUACACCAGAACCUCCGUCAAGGAUCACGAGAUCUCAUAUGAAAAAUAACUAACACAUUUAUUGUUUACAUAGAUAUUUAUUACAUGUUGUAUUUAUAAGAGACCGUACGUUUUAUCGAGCCUUUGUAUAGUGAUACGCAUGUGCGGGAGAGCACGAGAAAUCAGGACAUAAUUAAUAACAAUCAACGCACUUUUAUUUAACGUAAAAUUCUCGAUAUAAAACUUUCAUAAGUGUUUUCCAAUUUUAUAUACAUCGGACGAGGAAGUAGAAUAUAAUGGAAAUGUGUUGCCUGCAACGCCGUUACGCGAACGAUAUUUUUACUAUUCAGCAUUUUAGCAAUUGAGCGAUUUAGAAAUAAUAAUUGUAACAUUUCUCCGUUGUAAAAAAAGAAACAAAACUAUGGAAUACAAAAAUAUAAAUUACUAAUAUCCUAAUAUAUAUAUAUUUACAGACGUAUGAAUACUAACGACAUAACUCUAUAAAUACAUAUGAUACAUA
Ooceraea biroi (clonal raider ant) is the source of this 630-nucleotide long non-coding RNA. RefSeq lists it as uncharacterized. Lineage: Eukaryota; Metazoa; Arthropoda; Insecta; Hymenoptera; Formicidae. The record is from RefSeq and is a predicted model, not a curated record.